This 253-nucleotide ribosomal RNA is filed under the name uncultured bacterium. RNAcentral describes it as "partial 16S ribosomal RNA". It matches the Rfam family "Bacterial small subunit ribosomal RNA", at positions 524 to 776 of the family's 1533-position model. The record is from RNAcentral.
UACGUAGGGGGCAAGCGUUGUCCGGAUUUAUUGGGCGUAAAGAGCGUGUAGGCGGUUCGGUAGGUCCGUUGUGAAAACUCGAGGCUCAACCUCGAGACGCCGAUGGAAACCCCCGAACUAGAGUCCGGAAGAGGAGAAUGGAAUUCCUGGUGUAGCGGUGAAAUGCGCAGAUAUCGGGAAGAACACCCGUGGCGAAGGCGGCACUCUGGGACGGUACUGACGCUGAGACGCGAAAGCGUGGGGAGCGAACAGG